Molecule: long non-coding RNA, 9242 nt
Organism: Homo sapiens (human)
Lineage: Eukaryota; Metazoa; Chordata; Mammalia; Primates; Hominidae
Exons: 5
Source: RefSeq, a predicted model, not a curated record
UAACAGAUGCAAAAUGUAGGACUGACAGGAUGUAUGCCCCUGUAAACAGGAUGGGGCUUAAUCCCUUGGAAAGUAAUGUAAUGCAAUUCAAUGCAAGAUUUCACAGGGACUUUAGGUGAUUUUGUUUCCCAGGAAAACCUAACAGAAUUAUGCAGCUGUACAUCCUUGGGAUGGGCACCAAUAGACCAAAAAAAAAAAAGUAUUAUUUUUCAAAGAGCAGACUAAAUCUCACCUCAUUUCCCCCACGAUAUUUGCUCUCUGCUUUCUAGGAAGAAGAAGCAAAGCACACCAUUGAUGUGUGUGGGUUUGAUGUAGCAUCUUCUAAGAGGUCUACAAAGAGACAUUGCAAAGCCAGGCCUCUAAAUGAUUCCUCUGUGAAACAUUGGGCCAAACAUUCCGUAACCCCUUCCUGCUCUGGUGAUCAUGCUCCCAUGACCAGAUCAUUGAACCAUUCUAGAGACUUCAAAUCCAUUGAGAUGGGAUUAAUGCCUUUGCCUACUCAGGCAGAGGACAGACUGACCAUUGCAAGUGUUCAUCAGCAUUUUCCUGCUCUUAGACGGAAAGGCCAAGGCCACCCCAAGCAUGCUGAAAUUAAUGGGCCAUCGUCAGGAAGGAGUUCACAACUGUAUAUGGAGCCAGAACAAAUGGAGAGACCUCGUUCAGUCGAUGGAUGGUAGCAACAAGGAAGAAAGCAAAUGGAGAAAUGACAUCUCAUGACCCAGGUGAAGCCUACUGUUACUAUUUGGCUAAAAUAAGCCACAUAGCUUGUGUUGAAGAAUCUUUUUUAUUUCUUUAAGAAGAAUUUGGUGCCCAUGAAAGUGAUCAAAGUUUUUUGUUCUCCAGUGACAUCAAGCAGGAGAAAAGGAUAUACUCUCCAUUGUGUGGUCUGUGGACUGGCAGCAUCAUCAUGGGUGAGAAAUGAAAAACGUGGGGUCUUCCCUCACAUGGAUCAGUAUCUGCAGUUUCACAAGCUCCCGAGGGGUGAGUGCACAUGAAGGAUUGAGUAUUGCUCCAAAUAACCAGACCAACAAGGUAAGUGUGGUGCUUUUUGGUUUUACCCGAUUACAGGUGUCCAUUUAGUUGUGAUACAGCAACAGACAUAUUCAUUCCUUCUUGGCUACAUCUUAUUGUUUGGCAAGAUAUCUGUAUUUAGACACAUUACUAUGGUACAGCGGUUCUCAAAGUGUGGUCCACGGACUGGAAGUAUCAGCCUCACUUGGGAAUCUGUUAGAGAUGCAAAUUCUCUGGCCACACCCCAGACCUACUGAAUCAGAAACUCUGGGACUGGGGCUCAAAGUCUGUGUCUUGACCAGCGUUCCAGAUAAUUCUGAUGGGCUGUGGUAGUGAGACCCACUACUGUAGUACCUAGCUGCUCCAAUAAGCAGACAAUCUUGUCAUUAUAAAGCAGUCUACCAGAGUUUGAAGCAGUAGAAAAUCAAUGACUAAUGGAGAACAGGAAUGAUAAUCCAGCUCAGUUUCAUUUUUAUCUUAGAAUUAAUUGGAAAAUGUAUAGGUCGAGUGUUUCUUUCUAAUCUUUCUUUAAAUGCUCGGCCAGUGCCUGGAUUUUUGCCUUUAAUUCUAAUGUCCUCCUUGCUCAGGGAGGAUGCCUUUGGUGGAAGCCAAAGUUACUGCCUAAAAGACCAGUUUACUACAAAUAGGUAAGAAGAAACCUGCCUAAAAUCAAUCACCUACUUUAAGUUAAUCAGAUGUUCUAAGUGGAUGAUUUAUAUGACUCACAAAGGGCAUUUCAAAAAAGUUGCUGUGGACCCAGCUUCAGCAGUGAAUUUUGUGUUCUAGGUGAAUAAAAAGGAAAGUUUUGCAAGCAAAUGCUGACUUGCAGAUGGGCAGGUACUGCAUAGUUCAUGAACAGGAGGCACACCUGCUCUGAAGUUCUGCAGCCAACAAAGCUGUUUAAAGAGAAAGGGAGAAGCAAUCAGUAUUACCCACUGGUGCCUCCAAGAAGUGCCAAAGGAGGUACUUCUCAUUUUAAACAAGUCGAAUAAUAAGGUGCAGAUUAGAAUCAAAUGUGUAGGCAAUCCUUUUUCCUGGGCAGCACUGCCUCCACUCAGAGCCGGUCACAGAUGAGCAAAAUUGACUUCCUGGCUUAUCUCAUUUUCAGUUGAAAAUAUUGUUGAUGCAUUUGCUUCUAUGAAAGCCAGGAAAGUAAAAUUAUAGUAGAUCCAAUUUUAGGUAUGAAGAAAUACUUCAACAUAAAAUAAUGUGAGCUUUAAUACACUGGUCUUUCAAUUUUUCAAUAAUUUCUCAACUUCUUCAAUGGCCCAUAAAAAAAGAACUACAAAAAUAUAUAUAAAGAUAUACGUAUAUCAGGUAGACAUUUUCAGUUUUGCCUUAGGCUUCGAUAAAGAUUGACAAGGUAUUGUUGGGCUACAUCAUUUAUUUAAAAAUCUUGAUAUUUUGUUCAUGAACAUUUUUCCAUUGUUUUUAAAAAUUCAUUAAAAUAUUAUUUAUCUUCAUUACUGAUUUUUGGCACCCUCUUAAAUUAGCCCAAGGCUAGUGCCUUCCUUGUCUCACCCUCGUCCUGGAUCUGCUGCAGAGAAUUGAGUUCAACUUAUUGGGAUGAAAAAAAUUGUUUUUUCUUGUUAAACAUCAUAGUGCAAUGAAGAUAUAUUGGGCUUUUGAAUAAAACGGGACAUCUUUUGAAUCCUUGCUGUCAUUUACUAGUUUGUGAUUUUGUGGAUAUGUAAUACUGUUUGAUGUCCUAACUUCCCUGAAAAUCAGUUUUAUAAGUUAACUUGUGUUUUUAUAUUUGUUAGAUAUUUUUGUUCCAUUAUGUAAAUUGCAUGUUCUCUGAAUAUAUUUCUGCUGGAUUUAUUUAUUUAUUUAUUUAUUUUACUUUAGGUUCUAGGGUCCAUGUGCACAACGUGCAGGUUUGUUACAUAUGUAUACAUGUGCCAUAUUGGUGUGCUGCACCCAGUAACUCGUCAUUUACAUUAGGUAUAUCUCCUAAUACUAUCCCUCCCCCCUCCCCCCACCCCACAACAGGCCCCGGUGUGUGAUGUUUCCCACACUGUGUCCAUGUGUUCUUAUUGUUCAAUUGCCACUUAUGAGUGAGAACAUGCGGUGUUUGGUUUUUUGUCCUUGUGAUAGUUUGCUGAGAAUGAUGGUUUCCAGCUUCAUUCAUGUCCCUACAAAGGACAUGAACUCAUCCUUUUUUAUGGCUACAUAGUAUUCCAUGAUGUAUAUGUGCCACAUUUCCUUAAUCCAGUCUAUCAUUGAUGGACAUUUGGGUUGGUUCCAAGUCUUUGCUAUUGUGAAUAGUGCCACAAUAAACAUAAGCAUGCAUGUGUCUUUAUAGCAGCAUGAUUUAAAUCCUUUGGGUAUAUACCCAGUAAUGAGAUGGCUGGGUCAAAUGGUAUUUCUAGUUCUAGAUCCUUGAGGAAUCGCCACACUGUCUUCCACAAUGGUUGAACUAGUUUACAGUCCCACCAACAGUGUAAAAGUGUUCCCAUUUCUCCACAUCCUCUCCAGCACCUGUUGUUUCCCGACUUUUUAAUGAUCGCCAUUCUAACUGAUGUGAGAUGGCAUCUCAUGGUGGUUUUGAUUUGCAUUUCUCUGAUGGCCAGUGAUGAUGAGCAUUUUUUCAUGUGUCUGUUGGCUGCAUAAAUGUCUUCUUUUGAGCAAUGUCUGUUGAUAUCCUUCACCCACUUUUUGAUGGGGUUGUUUGAUUUUUUCUUGUAAAUUUGUUUAAGUUCUUUAUAGAUUCUGGAUAUUAGCCCGUUGUCAGAUGGGUAAAUUGUAAAAUUUUUCUCCCAUUCUGUAGGUUGCCUGUUUACCCUGAAGGUAGUUUCGUUUGCUGUGCAGAAGCUCUUUAGUUUAAUUAGAUCCCAUUUGUCAAUUUUGGCUUCUGUUGCCAUUGCUUUUGGUGUUUUAGUCAUGAAGUCCUUGUCCAUGCCUAUGUCCUGAAUGGUAUUGCCUAGGUUUUCUUCUAGGGUUUUUAUGGUUUUAGGUCUAAUGUUUAAGUCUUUAAUCCAUCUUGAAUUAAUUUUUGUAUAAGGUUUAAGUAAGGGAUCCAGUUUCAGCUUUCUACACAUGGCUAGCCAGUUUUCCCAGCACCAUUUAUUAAAUAGGGAAUCCUUUCCCCAUUGCUUGUUUUUGUCAGGUUUGUCAAAGAUCAGAUGGUUGUAGAUGUGUGGUAUUAUUUCCGAGGGCUCUAGUCUAUUCCAUUGGUCUAUAUCUCUGUUUUGGUACCAGUACCAUGCUGUUUUGGUUACUGUAGCCUUAUAGUAUAGAAAGAAAAUUCUUUUAUUUAAGAAUGUUGAAUAUUGGCCCCCACUCUCUUCCGGCUUUUAGAGUUUCUGCUGAAAGAUCCGCUGUUAGUCUGAUGGGCUUCCCUUUGUGGGUAACCCGACCUUUCUCUCUGGCUGCCCUUAACAUUUCUUCCUGUGUUUCAACUUUGGUGAAUCUGACAAUUAUGUGUCUUGGAACCAAAAAAGAGCCCACAUUGCCAAGACAAUCCUAAGCCAAAAGAACAAAGCUGGGGGCAUCACGCUACCUGACUUCAAACUAUACUGCAAGGCUACAGUAACCAAAACAGCAUGGUACUUCUUUCCCCAUUUCUUGUUUUUGUCAGGUUUGUCAAAUAUCAGAUGGUUGUAGAUGUGUGGUAUUAUUUCUGAGGGCUCUAUUGUCUCUCUGGAAUCAGUGAGUUCUUGCUCUUUUGGACACAGAGUAGUUCCCACCAAAGCAGGUUGUUAUAAGUGAGACUGCCUCUUGUGUUGGGUCUUUUUGCACAUGCUCACUUGCUUUUUUUUUUUUUUUUUUUGAGAUGGAGUCUUGCUCUGUUGACCAGGCUGGAGUGCAGUGGUGCAUCUUGGCUCACUGCAAGCUCCGCCUCCCAGGUUCACGCCAUUUUCCUGCCUCAGCCUCCUGAGUAGCUGGGACUACAGGCGCCCACCACCACGCCUGGCUAAUUUUUUUUGUAUCUUUAGUAGAGACGGGGUUUCACUGUGUUAGGCAAGAUGGUCUCGAUCUCCUGACCUCAUGAUCCGCCCGCCUCAACCUCCCAAAGUGCUGGGAUUACAAGCGUGAGCCACCGCAUCCAGCCGCUCACUUGCUUUUAUGCUUGUCUGCCGUGUUGCGAGACAGCGUGAGGCCCUUACCAGAGCCUGAGCAGAUGCUGGUGCCAUUCUCUUGAACUUUCCAGCCACCAGAAUCAUAAGCCCAAUAAACCUCUUUUUAAAAUAAAUUAUCUGGUGUCAGGUAUUCUGUUACAGCAACACAAAAUGGACUAUGACACUUUGGUAGAGUCAAACUCACCAAUUUUUCCCAUAUAGUAUAUGCUUUGAAGAAGAUAUUGAAAUUUCUACUUUUAUCAUCCAGUACUCCUACCUUUACUCUUUCUGACCUCCCUUAAUCUUAUGUGCUUUUAGAGGUUUUCCUUAUGAAAUCCUUUUCCUCUGAGAUAAAAAAAAGUCAUUUUUAAUUAGUUUUAUAGUGUAUGUUUCAUAAUUAGGACUCUAAUCCAAGUUGAUUUUCUCUGUUGGAUGAUUUCAUUACAACUUCUUUUAAACAUAUUACUCCAUAUGGUCUGAGUCAAAUAUUCUAACACUUUGUGUAAAAUCAGUUUUUUCUUUUUUUCUACUGAUUCGUGAUGCAAACCCUCUCACAUAUUAUGUUCCCACAUAUACAUGAGUGGCUAACCUCUCUAUCAUGUUCAGUUGCUUUCCUUGAAUGUUCCUAUGCCACAAUGAUACCUUUUUAAUUACUAAGGUUUUGUAAGGAAUUUUACAGCUGAAUUAAUGUCCUUAGUUAGUUGGCUUUGAGUCACUCAAAAGGGAGAUGAUCUUGGAUGGACCUGAUCUAUCAGAUGAGCUUUUGCAAAGAGCAUCUAGACAUCAGAAUCUUGAAGCAGCAGAGAUUCUUUUUAUUGCUGGCUUUGAAGAAGAAAGUUUCCAUGAAUAUUACUGCUACAAAGCCAUUAAUUCUGCCAACAACCAGAGAUUGCUUAAAGACAGAUACUUCCUGAGUCAAGCCUCCAGCUGAGAAUGCAGCUUGGGUGACACCUUGAUUUCAGCCUUGUGAAACCCUGAGGAGAGAACCUGACAGAGCUCUGCCUGAGCUCUGGCCUUUAGAGGUCAGACUCACUUAUUACUGCAAGUGAUAAAUUAAUCCUGUUUUAAGCUAUUAAGUUUGUGACUAUUUGUUAUACAGAAUAGAAAGCUAGUAUGCUAUCUAGAGCUAAUCAGUAUUUAAAACUUUCUACUAAGAUGUGCAUAUUAUUUUCUUUCUCUUCCUCAUCUUCCUCAUCUCCACCAUGUUGGUAUCAUAUAUUUAGUUCAUGAUUGCUGUAAAAAUUUUUAAAAAUGGAUAAUUCAGAAACUUUUUUUUUUUUUUUUACAAUUAAUACCUGUAGCUGACAUUAUUUAUUGCUCAAUAGCCAAAUAUCACUUUCAUCUUAUUUUGAUGUCCUGGCUUGCCAACAGAGACCUAAUUUUGUUCAGUUGUCAGGUGCAGAGCCCUUGGAAAGUAGGUUCGUCUACCAGCUUCACAGGUAAAAUACCGAUUGAUGUAAGUUAAUAAAGACUCAUUCCUAUAUUACAUGGGGCAGUUCCAGCCAAUGAGAUAUAAAGUAGCACUGGGAAAAUAUGUUUUCUUAUUGGUACUGUUUGGCUCCCUUUGUGCCCUUUCAGUCUAAGAUCUUGAAUCUUUUUAAGCUGUGGGACGUAAUUAAAUAUAAUUUCUUCAAGUAUAGCCCACACUCAUUUUACCUUUUCUUUUUACCCUAUAAUUGCACUUAGUUGGAUAUUGAAAUUUCUACUUUUAUCAUCCAGUACUCCUACUUUUACUCUUUCUGACCUCCCUUAAUCUUAUUCAAUGUCCUAUGGGGAGUUUCUGAAAAUCCCCUAGUUCUCUAGUUCUUUCUUCAGUUGAGUCCAUUCUGUUAUUAAAAUCAUCCUCUGAGUUCUUUAUUUCAGCAAUUAUAUUUUUAAUGGCAAAUGUCUCUGGUUGGUUCAUCCUAAUGCUUGUUCAUGCUUCAUAUUGGUAAGAAUUCUCGUUGAAUACCUCAACCCUAUUUAUUAAGCUUAUUUUGAGUUACUAUUUUCUUGUAUCAUUAACUCUGCUUCUGCUGUGUUACAUUGCGAUUUUUAUUGUCUUUUUCUUGUAACUCUUGGCCCUUUAAGUGUCAUAUAAUUUUUCCGUGGGAGGUCAUUUAUAUUGCCUGGAGCUUUCCUUACUGUUCCAGCUACCUUUGGGGAGGACAGAAAGCCUGGAUGUUGCUCAGGGAGUUUAAGGGUUGGAGACUUGGAGGUUGUAAGGGUAUAAGGCCUCCCUUUGCAUUCUGGAAUCUACUACCGUCUGCCUCCUGCACCCCUUCCCUUUUCGAUAGCAUCCUUUGCCUCCCCAGGAAAACUCCCAGUAUCUCUGUCCUAGGUACUGCUCUAUGAAAUUGUAAUUUCUUAGCCAUAAACUGAAAAAUAUGAAGAGAAGUCUCAGAUUCUGAUCAGGCCGCCUUCAUGUUUUGGUGUUGGUCUCCAAUCCAUUCAGGCUCAAGAGCUGCCCCAUGGCUACUGUGGCCUUUGACUGGAGCAUCUGCUCUACCAAUCUUCAGACUUAGAGCAGGUGGGACUUCACUCAGAGCAAUAUAAGGAGAGAGGGGUCCCCCCAGGAAGCUCUCUCCCAGUCUAGCUCCUUGUCCAUAUACCGAGGAUGCAUCUUUCCAGUCCCUGGGGUAAAAUUCUAAAAUGGAAUACCACGUCCUGGUCAUGAGUAGAGAGAAGGAAAUGAUAAGGUGGACUGGGUACGCUGAAAACAAAUUGUAUCAGACUCGUCUCAUUCAGUGCUUUUGAGAGCUACUAUGCUGAAGAUUCAGAAAAUGAGGUACCUCUAGGAGAAAAGAGAAGGGCAUGAUAUCUUUUGAAGCCUUGUCGACUAGAUGAAAAAAUACAAGAAAGAUCAAUGAGUUGUAGGUAUUUUUAGAUGGCUGUUGAGUGGCCCCAGCUAAGUCAGUUAAUUGAUUAAUGUCUACCUGAAGAGGAUUCUAGUAGUGUGCUUCAGGGAUUUGACCUUUGUCCUAUCCUGAUAGUUCAGUAUUAUUUUAUUAAUGACAUGGUGAAAUAUAAAGGCAUAUUCAUAUUUAUAAAUGUUCAAAAGCUAGGAGGGGGGACUGUGCCUAUGUUGUAUGUGAGAAUCUGGUUCUAAAUAAACAUCAAAAAGAUUAGAGAGACUAAUGUAAUAGAAAUUAAUAGGAAUAAGUAUGCGGUUCUAAAAUUUUCCUCCAAAUAUCACAGGAUUAGCACUAGUUAAUGUUGAGCAUUUUAGUUCGCAGUAAGUAAACUUAAUAAUUUGUCAGCCACAUUACACUUAUUAAUAUUAUUGCCAAAAGUUGCAUGUAGAGGAAUACGUUAGAAAAAGGGAGGUAAGAUCUUGCUCUUCCCUGUUCUGGUCAAACUUUACCAAGACAACUUAGUUCCAGUCUGAGUAUCAAGCUUUAAGAGAUAAAAUGAUGCAUUCUGGAAUCCACUACCCAAAAUUCAGCCUCCGCAGUGAAACAGAGUACAUUCAUGGCAUUAUCAGAGCAGUGAAAAUGCUCACAAGCUACGUCACCUAAGGACUCAUUUAAGGAACUUGUGAUUUUCAUCCUGUAAAAAAGGAUGACUGGGAAGGAGACGAACAUCCUCAAGUAAGGGAUGUUGGGAGAAUAAAAAAAAAAAAAGGAAUCAGCUGCAUUUUAUGUGAAUCUUCCAAAGGAUAGGGUUAAGACCAGCGGGUGGAAGUUGCAGAACGACAGAUUUCAGCUCAAUGUGUGGAAAACAUUCGAACAGAGCUUAGCCAUUGGACACUUCAUCUUUGGAAAAGGGUUGACUGAUAAAGGAGAUGUUUAAACCUAAGCCAUAUGGUUCGUUAAAACCACACGGUGGGCAACAGGAGAAGAGAUCAUAAAAUGUUCCUAUAACUCAAAAUUGCUUAGCUGAUUUGAGGAAGCUUCAUGGGGGAGAUAAAAAUGGAGCUGUGCCAGGAAGGACGGACAGAUAGGACUUAGUUCAUGCAUUUUCAACAUGGUGACAUUGCCCUAAGGGAAUGAAAUCGGUUCUUGGAGGGUGAAAAAAUCUUGGCUAUUCAAAUUGUUUGUGACCCUCCUCAGAGCCACAGUACAUAGACAGACAUACAGUAUAUCUUUGAUAUUAAUAUUUCAUGCUGGAAGGAGAGUGGUUAGGGAAAUGCUCUAAAAAGUUUCCUUGGCCAGGGACGGUGGCUCACAUCUGUAAUCCCAGCACUUUGGG